UACGUAGGGCGCAAGCGUUGUCCGGAAUUAUUGGGCGUAAAGAGCUCGUAGGCGGUUUGUCGCGUCUGCUGUGAAAACCUAAGGCUCAACCUUGAGCUUGCAGUGGGUACGGGCAGACUAGAGUGUGGUAGGGGAGCUGGAAUUCCUGGUGUAGCGGUGAAAUGCGCAGAUAUCAGGAGGAACACCGAUGGCGAAGGCAGGUCUCUGGGCCACUACUGACUGAGAAGCGAAAGCAUGGGG
RNAcentral lists this ribosomal RNA (240 nucleotides) under uncultured bacterium. RNAcentral's name for it is "partial 16S ribosomal RNA". It matches the Rfam family "Bacterial small subunit ribosomal RNA", at positions 524 to 766 of the family's 1533-position model. The record is from RNAcentral.